Molecule: transfer RNA, 75 nt
Filed under: Phaeocystis rex
Lineage: Eukaryota; Haptophyta; Phaeocystales; Phaeocystaceae
Description: tRNA-His
Rfam family: tRNA
About the family: Transfer RNA (tRNA) molecules are approximately 80 nucleotides in length. Their secondary structure includes four short double-helical elements and three loops (D, anti-codon, and T loops).
Source: RNAcentral
GGUAAAUAUAGUUUAAUGGUAUAAAACAAUAAUCUGUGACGUUAUAAAUUGAGGGUUCAAAUCCCUCUAUUUACC